This 497-nucleotide ribosomal RNA is filed under the name uncultured bacterium. RNAcentral describes it as "partial 16S ribosomal RNA". It matches the Rfam family "Bacterial small subunit ribosomal RNA", at positions 28 to 507 of the family's 1533-position model. The record is from RNAcentral.
GACGAACGCUGGCGGCGUGCCUAAUACAUGCAAGUUGAGCGCUGAAGGUUGGUACUUGUACCAACUGGAUGAGCAGCGAACGGGUGAGUAACGCGUGGGGAAUCUGCCUUUGAGCGGGGGACAACAUUUGGAAACGAAUGCUAAUACCGCAUAAAAACUUUAAACACAAGUUUUAAGUUUGAAAGAUGCAAUUGCAUCACCCAAAGAUGAUCCCGCGUUGUAUUAGCUAGUUGGUGAGGUAAAGGCUCACCAAGGCGAUGAUACAUAGCCGACCUGAGAGGGUGAUCGGCCACAAUGGGACGGAGACACGGCCCAAACGCCUACGGGAGGCAGCAGUAGGGAAUCUUCGGAAAUGGACGAAAGUCUGACCGAGCAACGCCGCGUGAGUGAAGAAGGUUUUCGGAUCGUAAAACUCUGUUGGUAGAGAAGAACGUUGGUGAGAGUGGAAAGCUCAUCAAGUGACGGUAACUACCCAGAAAGGGACGGCUAACUACGUG